GGCGCGAAUUCUCUGCGUAGUAGGUUCCAGUUGUUCUUGAUUCUGGUAACGUGUGCUAAAGUACGUUCUGUUUACACGUGAUUUUGCACUGGAGGCGGUAUCACUCGGGAACUGAGCUUUCGUUUUCAAGCAGGGAAUAAUGAAUGAAAUUUUCCGUUAUAUAGAUGCACAUCAGAAGGACUACAUUGAUAACUUAAGACAAGCUGUGGGCAUAAAAAGUGUUUCAGCAUGGCCGGAGGUUCGUGGGGAAAUAUUAAAAAUGGUUCAAUGGGUAGCCAAGUAUUUGGAAAAUGAAGGGGCAGAAGUCACAUUGGUUGACGUUGGAAAAGAAACUUUACCUGAUGGCAGUACUAUACCUUUACCUCCAGUACUCUUAGGUACUUUAGGAAAGGAUCCAAAAAAGAAAACAAUUUGUGCAUAUGGCCAUCUUGAUGUACAACCUGCUGCAAAGGAAGAUGGUUGGAAUACUGACCCAUUUGUUUUAACGGAAAAGGAUGGUAAACUUUAUGGAAGAGGAGCAACUGAUGAUAAAGGUCCUGUUCUUGCAUGGCUUCAUGCAAUUUCUGCAUUCAGGGAAACUAAAAAAGAGUUGCCUUGCAAUUUAAAAUUUUGUUUUGAAGGUAUGGAAGAAUCUGGCUCUGAAGGCUUAGAUGAAUUAGUUUUUGCUGAGAAAGAUAAAUUUUUUAAAGAUGUGGAUUAUGUGUGUAUAUCUGAUAAUUAUUGGCUAGGAAAGAAAAAACCAUGCAUUACAUAUGGUUUAAGAGGAGCAUGCUACUUUUUUAUCGAGGUUGAAUGUGCUGCUAAGGAUUUGCAUUCUGGUGUGUUUGGUGGCUCAGUGCAUGAAGCUGUGGCUGAUGUGAUUGCAUUAAUGAACUCGUUAAUUGAUGCAAGAGGCAAUAUAUUGAUUCCUGGUAUAAUGGAUGAUGUUGCUCCUGUCACCCCAGAAGAAGAAAAAUUAUAUGAGAGCAUUGACUUUAAUCCGGAAGAAUUUAGAUGUGAUAUUGGCUGCAACAAAUUAGUACGCUCAGAUGCAAAGAAAAUUCUUAUGAGAAGAUGGCGUUAUCCUAGUGUAUCCUUACAUGGAAUUGAAGGUGCAUUCAAUGGACCAGGAGCUAAGACUGUGAUUCCAGGAAAAGUCACAGGAAAGUUCUCAAUUCGUAUUGUACCUAAUCAGGAACCUGAAAAAAUUGAGAAAUUAAUUAUUGAUCAUUUAAAUAAAGUUCAUGAAACUAGAGGCUCACCUAAUAAAUUACAUAUAUGGAGUAGAGCCAGAUCUAAUAAGAGAAGGCGGAAGUAUUCCUGUAACAUUAACAUUUCAAGAAGCAACUGGCAAGAAUGUUAUACUUUUAGGCAUUGGUUGUAGUGAUGAUGGUGCACAUUCCCAGAAUGAAAAGAUUGACAUUUUUAAUUAUAUUUAUGGAAUCAAAUUAUUGGCUGCUUAUAUACAUGAAGUCUCACAGUUGUAGAAGUCAAGCAUCUACUUGGAAAAAUUUUGUACUAGAUACAUAAUUGAAAUAUUUUUAAAAUAAAAUUGGAAACUGACAGAUCAUGGAUAAUAAAUGUUAAUUAUUUUGA
RNAcentral lists this unclassified non-coding RNA (1575 nucleotides) under Stegodyphus dumicola. RNAcentral describes it as "cytosolic non-specific dipeptidase-like, transcript variant X4". The record is from RNAcentral. Lineage: Eukaryota; Metazoa; Arthropoda; Arachnida; Araneae; Eresidae.